AGUGAACGCUGGCGGUAGGCCUAACACAUGCAAGUCGAACGGCAGCACAGUAAGAGCUUGCUCUUACGGGUGGCGAGUGGCGGACGGGUGAGGAAUACAUCGGAUUCUACUUUUUCGUGGGGGAUAACGUAGGGAAACUUACGCUAAUACCGCAUACGACCUACGGGUGAAAGCAGGGGAUCUUCGGACCUUGCGCGAUUGUAUGAGCCGAUGUCGGAUUAGCUAGUUGGCUGGGUAAAGGCCCACCAAGGCGACGAUCCGUAGCUGGUCUGAGAGGAUGAUCAGCCACACUGGAACUGAGACACGGUCCAGACUCCUACGGGAGGCAGCAGUGGGGAAUAUUGGGCAAUGGGCGAAAGCCUGAUCCAGCCAUGCCGCGUGGGUGAAGAAGGCCUUCGGAUUGUAAAGCCCUUUUGUUGGGAAAGAAAAGCAGCAGGUUUAUACAUGGCUGUUCUGACGGUACCUAAAGAAUAAGCACCGGCUAACUUCGUG
This 492-nucleotide ribosomal RNA is filed under the name uncultured bacterium. RNAcentral's name for it is "partial 16S ribosomal RNA". It matches the Rfam family "Bacterial small subunit ribosomal RNA", at positions 29 to 507 of the family's 1533-position model. The record is from RNAcentral.